Octopus bimaculoides (California two-spot octopus) is the source of this 1268-nucleotide long non-coding RNA. The record is from RefSeq and is a predicted model, not a curated record. NCBI's taxonomy places the organism in Eukaryota, Metazoa, Mollusca, Cephalopoda, Octopoda, Octopodidae.
UAGACGGCGUACGUAGAAGACGUGUUUUGAUCUGGAGCGAUCGUUUACCCCGCCACGGUCGACAAAGACUAUACUUGGAAGAAUCAUGUUUUUCACACGGCCAACUCUACGUGGGAUGUUCAAGAGUGGAGAGCAAGGACAGUCUUUUCGCGUACACUCUAAAUGGAAAAACAAAAAGCAUUGUCUACAAUGAGGUAUUGCACCAGUGAUUAUUACCAACUGCUGUCGACUUUACCAAUGUAAAUAGUGAACUGAUUUGACAACAAAAAGUCAUGGAACAACAAAAUAAUUCCGCCAUUGUUGUUUUGGCGUGUGCUGGGCACACUGCCAAUAAAAUUGCUAAGUUGACAAAACUUCCAAAAGCAACAGGUUAUAGUGUGUAUAAGCAAUUUAAAGAAGAGGGAAAAAUUGAUAGAAAAGAAUACAAAACUCAAAGUGAUUCCAAGCACAAUCCAAAGUUUCUUGCUGGCUUCAAACGCUUGAUUGAGGCCAACUCAUCCACAUCCAUGAUAACUCUUGCAAAGAAAUGCAAUGUGUCCUUUUUCUAUGGUGUCCAGAGCUGUGAACAGAAACCUUGACAUGAUUAGCUAUGUUCAACAAUGCUGCCACCUCCUAACAGCUAGAGCCAAAACAAUUAGAGCUAAGAGAUGCCCAAAGCUUCUGUCAUUCAUCAAACAUCAAGAUGCAGGAAAAACUCUCAUGUUUGUGGACGAGAAGUUCAUUGUAGACGCUGAGGUGAAUCGCAGAAAUUCUCGAAUGAUUGCAUAGAACCCUUCUAACGUCCCCGCUGUGUUUGAGACUAAGAAUCAUGCCUUUGUGGUGGUAUUUGGGGCUGUAGCAAGUGAUUGAAGUAUCAUGGAUCCACACUUCAUUGAGUCUGGCUUGAAGAUCGGCGCAAAGGAGGAUCUGGACAUCCUGAAGCAUUGUCUGUUACUUUGGAUGGAGCAGAAGUUUUUGCUUGGCAAUGAAGUGCUUAUCUACACCAUGCCAUAGGUCAAAAGCACCACAGGUCUUCCUUUGUGAGAAGGUGCCAUUUUUCUUGAGGGCUAGCAUCUGGCCCAGUAAUAGCCCACAUCUCAACCUUCUCGAUUACUUUUUAUGGAGCAUACAUCAAGCAACAAACCAAUUCUUCACUACACAUGAGUGUAAAUAGCUUGAAGACCUGCAUCAUGCGUGCGACACACUAAAUCAAAAAGAUGGAGGUUGUGACAGCUGCAAAAAAAUUUCGUUCUCAUAUGGGGGCAGUAAUUGUCCAAAAGGGCAGCCGU